AGCCAGACUCCUACGGGAGGCAGCAGUGAGGAAUAUUGGUCAAUGGCCGGAAGGCUGAACCAGCCAAGUCGCGUGAGGGAAUAAGGCCCUAUGGGUCGUAAACCUCUUUUGUCAGGGAGCAAAGGCGUCCACGUGUGGACGAGAGGAGAGUACCUGAAGAAAAAGCAUCGGCUAACUCCGUGCCAGCAGCCGCGGUAAUACGGAGGAUGCGAGCGUUAUCCGGAUUUAUUGGGUUUAAAGGGUGCGCAGGCGGAUUUUUAAGUCAGCGGUCAAAUCGUGGGGCUCAACCCCAUCCAGCCGUUGAAACUGGGGAUCUAGAGUGUGCGAGAGGUAUGCGGAAUGCGUGGUGUAGCGGUGAAAUGCAUAGAUAUCACGCAGAACUCCGAUUGCGAAGGCAGCAUACCGGCGCCCAACUGACGCUGAAGCACGAAAGCGUGGGUAUCGAACAGGAUUAGAUACCCUCAGUAU
Molecule: ribosomal RNA, 468 nt
Filed under: uncultured bacterium
Lineage: Bacteria
Description: bacterial SSU rRNA
Rfam family: Bacterial small subunit ribosomal RNA
Source: RNAcentral